Molecule: long non-coding RNA, 1022 nt
Organism: Mastomys coucha (southern multimammate mouse)
Lineage: Eukaryota; Metazoa; Chordata; Mammalia; Rodentia; Muridae
Exons: 4
Source: RefSeq, a predicted model, not a curated record
CGUGACAACUAACCCCUGAUCUGGUGACUAAACACAACUGACGCCCAGGACCCCGAUUCAUGGAACGGUGUUGCUACCCACAGCUAAAGUGGAUCUUCUCACCUCAAAGGAUCUAAUCUAGGUGGCCCCUCAUAGAUAUGCUCAGAGGUUUGUCGCCUAGGUGAUUAUAGGUCGCCAAGGUUGGCAGUCAGCACUGAUGAGCCAGCAGGCGUCUUAGCAAUUACAGACUAGUUCACCCACCACGGAUGAUGGGGUUCUCAGCGCCAUCUAGUGGUUGAAUGAUGCAAGCACUUCCAUGGCAAACCGUAGAAGGCAAAACUAAAUAUAAAAACUGAAUGAUAAGGAGAAGGCAGCCACGUCAAUGUCUUGGAGUCGUGCCAAGAUGGGAACACCUUAACAUGUAUGAUGUCCAUCAAGAAGGACAACGUGGGCGGAAUGUGAAGGUGAUGGAACCCACCUAGGAUGGCCUUGCAAAUGUGACAGAGCAUGAGGCUGUGCUGGAAAGGGCCAUUCCCUAAGGAGAAGAUGUAUUAGUCACACUGCAAUGCUCCAACACAAAAGAGCCCCGGACUUGUCACUUCUAACACCAACAUCGACCUUCCCCUCUGUGUCACCGGCUGCCUUUGUAGUAGGCGCGUUUUUUAUUCCCACUCGAAGGAUACAGUGACUCUAAUAGUGCCUUCCUGACUUCGUUUAUGGUGGCAACUCUCACGGGUAGUUCAGCGAUUCUAAUGUGGAUCUCGCCAGUCUCCGCGUGCUCAAGCCCCGCCCCCCACCUCAGUGGUGAGCUGCUUUCCUGUCAUCCAACUCAUCCCUCCCCUCCGCCCCCUCCACCCAGGCCCCUGCCCUAGUCCUCAUCAGAGACCCUACCAGUUUUUUGUUUUUGUUUUGUUUUCUAUGGAAGCAUUCAUGUCUUUUAUUUACUCUGCAAUUCAUCUUUCGAACUACUUCUGCUGUUAGCAUUCUGUAUAAACUCCACCCCUACAGAUACCUGGCAGCAGCCAGGUAUGCUCCUCCCCAUG